GCCACUGUGGUGUAUAGUGGUGAGAGUGUCUGACUGGGACCUGGGAGACAAGGGUUCAAAUCCCUGUUGGUGGUG
Podarcis lilfordi (Lilford's wall lizard) is the source of this 75-nucleotide non-coding RNA. The record is from the annotation of a GenBank genome assembly. Lineage: Eukaryota; Metazoa; Chordata; Lepidosauria; Squamata; Lacertidae.